Molecule: microRNA, 19 nt
Filed under: Corchorus olitorius
Lineage: Eukaryota; Viridiplantae; Streptophyta; Magnoliopsida; Malvales; Malvaceae
Description: tca-miR-3904-
Source: RNAcentral
CAUAUUUAAAAAUAUUGUU